UAGAGUUUGAUCCUGGCUCAGAACGAACGCAUGGCGGCAUGCCUAACACAUGCAAGUCGAACGAGACCUUCGGUGUCUAGUGGCGCACGGGUGCGUAACGCGUGGGAAUCUGCCCUUGGGUUCGGAAUAACAGUGGGAAACUACUGCUAAUACCGGAUGAUGACGUAAGUCCAAAGAUUUAUCGCCCAAGGAUGAGCCCGCGUAAGAUUAGCUUGUUGGUGAGGUAAAGGCUCACCAAGGCGACGAUCUUUAGCUGGUCUGAGAGGAUGAUCAGCCACACUGGGACUGAGACACGGCCCAGACUCCUACGGGAGGCAGCAGUGGGGAAUAUUGGACAAUGGUCGAAAGCCUGAUCCAGCCAUGCCGCGUGAGUGAUGAAGGUCUUAGGAUUGUAAAGCUCUUUCACCGAUGAAGAUAAUGACGGUAGUCGGAGAAGAAGCCCGGGCUAACUUCGUGCCAGCAGCCGCGGUAAUACGAAGGUCCCGAGCGUUGUUCGGAAUCACUGGGCGUAAAGGGAGCGUAGCGGCGCGGUAAGUCAGAUGUGAAAUCCCGGGGCUCAACCCCGGAACUGCAUCCGAUACUGCCGUGCUCGAGCAUUGGAGAGGUAGCUGGAAUUCUUGGUGUAGCAGUGAAAUGCGUAGAGAUCAAGAGGAACACUCGUGGCGAAAGCGAGCUACUGGACAAUUGCUGACGCUGAGGCUCGAAGGCUAGGGUAGCGAAAGGGAUUAGAUACCCCUGUAGUCCUAGCCAGUAAACGGUGCACGCUUGGUGUGAGGGGAAUCGACCCCCCUUGUGCCGGAGCUAACGCGUUAAGCGUGCCGCCUGGGAAGUACGGUCGCAAGACUAGGACUCAUAGAAAUUGACGGGGACCCGCACAAGCGGGUGGAGUAUGUGGCUUAAUUCAGAUGCAACCCGAAAAAACUUACCAAGGCUUGCAUGCCUCGGGGAAACACUUGAAACCGUGUGACCCUUCCCGGGAAUUUGCACAAGUGAUUGAUUGGCCGUCACCAGCUCGAGUCGUGAGAUGUUGGGGAAAAAUCCCCCAACAACCGCAACCCUUGCCGAAUACUUGCCACAACACCAUCAAGGUGGGAAACCCAAUUCAGAACUGUCCCAGAAUCAACUGGAAAGGUCACGUAGGGNAACAGACAGUUCAGGGCCAUACAUGGCUCCUUUAAGCCCCUGAGCCUGCCCUCACGUACUAGCCAAUGGACCAAAAUAAAAUGAAAAUCCCAGCACCCUCUACGUGGCAAGAAAAUCCGCCAACACUUGGGACCUACCUUCCCCGAACUCACACAGCUCCCCAACCCCGCCCCCAAACACACAUCGGAACCUCCCAUAGAACGCCCCU
This 1351-nucleotide ribosomal RNA is filed under the name uncultured bacterium. RNAcentral describes it as "partial 16S ribosomal RNA". It matches the Rfam family "Bacterial small subunit ribosomal RNA", at positions 1 to 1289 of the family's 1533-position model. The record is from RNAcentral.